Molecule: long non-coding RNA, 207 nt
Filed under: Elaeis guineensis (African oil palm)
Lineage: Eukaryota; Viridiplantae; Streptophyta; Magnoliopsida; Arecales; Arecaceae
Description: long non-coding RNA (EGUI_LNC008535)
Source: RNAcentral
CAGUGGGACUCUUGACCCCAGUACCCAAAAUGUGUGGAACUCAUGAUCAGAGAAUCCUGAUUCUUGAUCACAGAGUCCCAGACAUGUAGGACUCAGAGUCUCCGAACAUUAGGACUCUUGGUUGAAGAGUCCCAGUCCAGUGGGACUCUUCACCAGCCAUCAGAUCAGAUAGGAACCUUUAAUGUGUGUGACCCCGCAGGUUCGAAC